AUUCAAAUUCAAAACAUUAUUAUAUUUCUCCUCUCUUGCUCACUCUUUUUUUCUUUUUUUUUGAAGAUCAAGCCUUAUUAGUGUCCUGGCUGCAACUCCUCCUGUUUUUCUGUAUGCUUACAGUACGACUUCAAGAUUAAAAAUGGAUAAAAAACAAACAAACAAACAAAAGCCCCCUUCCCCCCGCUUUCAAUCUAUCAGGGAAAUUUAGUUUCCAAACUUCCUGCCUUCUCCUCCUCACUUAUACCUCAUUAAUGUGAUGCAAACAAACAUACAAAAAUACAAAUACUGUAUUAUUUUGUUUCUAGAUGAAGACACAGACAUUUGUAGCUACUCUUCCUCCUCUCAAACGCUCUUUCUGCUGUUUCAUUACUGUAGAAGUCCCUUGACAUUUUGACCAUUAUAAUGUAUUUUCAAAUUGUUCCAUAGCCAGCUUUUAAAAACUGUUUUAAUAAAUUAAUACAGUGAAAGUGGCUGUAAAUGUGAGGCAGGAUUAUAAAUUAGGUUACAAAGUAUGUUUUUCUGUUAAAAAAAGAAUCGCUUUUAUAAGCCUUAGUCUCACAAAAGUAUAGAUUCCUCUUCAGGUCACUGAUUUUAAAAUACUAACCUUCCUACUACGGGCAGGGGUUUGUUUGUUGGUUUUUAUUUUUUUAAAAAUUGAGCCGUUGCACUUUAUUAUAAGGUUAUGGAAUGUAUAACCCAGCCUCAAUUAGCCAUCAAAGAGGAUUCUUUAAAAUGAAGGAGUAAGAAGGUAUACUCCCCAUUAGCUUCACAUGUCAAGGCUAAGUAGUUUGGAUGGAUGGUGAAGAGAAUAUGCAGAAGUUUGUAAAUAUCCACACAGCUAUUAGUUAUGAUCUGUGGAAGAGUUGUGUCUCAGCAAGCUCAUAUGUGGAGCCAUGCAUCGCAAACAGAGUUCUACAAAGCAGUCCAGUCCCACUGAGCUCAGCUGGGCAAUGCCACCCCAGACCUCCCAGCUUGCUGCUUUCUCUGAUGUUUGGAGGGAUGGACAGCGUGGUACUGCCCAGCAAGCCCUCAGUUUCCUCUCCCUGUGCUGGCCUGUGAACUCAGCAGGAAGGCUGGAGAACACUUACUUUGUCAAAUAGCGUAACCUUGGCCAUAGCUUAGCUUUUAUUAAUUCUAUUAUGAGAUACGUCAUGCCUAUCCCCUUGUUGUUCGACCCAUUUGGAUUUCGAAUAAGCCUUUCUUAAACUAUGAUUAGAGAUCAUAGAAAACAGCUAAGUACAAAGUGAACUGACAUGACUGCAACUAAAUUUAAAUCUGGUGUAUGGAUUCCUUAAAAGUCUCAGGUGAAUAUUGGAGGAAUACUUGAAUCGUGCAAUGACUCCCAAAGUCAUCAGCUCCAAGACA
RNAcentral lists this long non-coding RNA (1368 nucleotides) under Strigops habroptila (Kakapo). Its description in RNAcentral is "lncRNA (ENSSHBG00005007591.1)". The record is from RNAcentral. Lineage: Eukaryota; Metazoa; Chordata; Aves; Psittaciformes; Psittacidae.